GACGAACGCUGGCGGCGUGCCUAACACAUGCAAGUCGAGCGGGGAUUUAAGUGGAAGUUCUUCGGAAUGGAGAUGUAACUUCUAGCGGCGGACGGGUGAGUAACGCGUGAACAAUCUGUCCCGGACAGGGGGAUAACACUUGGAAACAGGUGCUAAUACCGCAUAAGACCACGGCCUCGCAUGGGGCUGAGGUAAAAGGAGCAAUCCGGUUCGGGGUGAGUUCGCGUCCGAUUAGCUAGGUGGUAGGGUACCGGCCCACCAAGGCGGCGACCGGUAGCCGGCCGGAGGGGGGGAACGGCCACAUUGGAACUGAGAGACGGUCGAAACUCCUACGGGGGGCAGCAGUGGGGAAUAUUGGGCCAUGGGCGAAAGCCUGACCCAGCAACGCCGCGUGAGGGAAGAAGGUUUUCGGAUUGUAAACCUCUGUCCUAUGGGACGAAGGAAGUGACGGUACCAUAGGAGGAAGCCCCGGCUAACUACGUG
Molecule: ribosomal RNA, 483 nt
Filed under: uncultured bacterium
Lineage: Bacteria
Description: partial 16S ribosomal RNA
Rfam family: Bacterial small subunit ribosomal RNA
Source: RNAcentral